Molecule: ribosomal RNA, 468 nt
Filed under: uncultured bacterium
Lineage: Bacteria
Description: partial 16S ribosomal RNA
Rfam family: Bacterial small subunit ribosomal RNA
Source: RNAcentral
GACGAACGCUGGCGGCGUGCUUAACACAUGCAAGUCGAACGGAAAGGCCCUGCCUUUGUGGGGUGCUCGAGUGGCGAACGGGUGAGUAACACGUGAGUAACCUGCCCUUGACUUUGGGAUAACUUCAGGAAACUGGGGCUAAUACCGGAUAGGAGCUCGUGCUGCAUGGUGGGGGGUGGAAAGUUUCGGCGGUUGGGGAUGGACUCGCGGCUUAUCAGCUUGUUGGUGGGGUAGUGGCUUACCAAGGCUUUGACGGGUAGCCGGCCUGAGAGGGUGACCGGCACAAUUGGGACUGAGAUACGGCCCGGACUCCUAGGGGAGGAAGCAGUGGGGAAUAUUGCAAAAUGGGCGGAGGCCUGAUGCAGCAACGCGGCGUGCGGGAUGACGGCCUUCGGGUUGUAAACCGCUUUCGCCUGUGCCGAAGCGUGAGUGACGGUAAUGGGUAAAGAAGCACCGGCUAACUACGUG